AACAAGGUCUCCGUAGGUGAACCUGCGGGAGGGAUC
This 36-nucleotide ribosomal RNA is filed under the name Pezicula frangulae subsp. frangulae. RNAcentral's name for it is "partial 18S ribosomal RNA". Lineage: Eukaryota; Fungi; Ascomycota; Leotiomycetes; Helotiales; Dermateaceae. The record is from RNAcentral.